UGGCUCAGAACGAACGCUGGCGGCAGGCCUAACACAUGCAAGUCGAGCGCCGUAGCAAUACGGAGCGGCAGACGGGAGAGUAACACGUGGGAACGUGCCCUUCAGUUCGGAACAACCCAGGGAAACUUGGGCUAAUACCGGAUACGUCCGUAAGGAGAAAGAUUUAUCGCCGAAGGAUCGGCCCGCGGCUGAUUAGCUAGUUGGUGAGGUAACGGCUCACCAAGGCGACGGUCAGUAGCUGGUCUGAGAGGAUGAUCAGCCUCACUGGGACUGUUUCUCGGCCCAGACGAAUACGGGAGGCA
RNAcentral lists this ribosomal RNA (302 nucleotides) under uncultured Hyphomicrobiales bacterium. Its description in RNAcentral is "bacterial SSU rRNA". It matches the Rfam family "Bacterial small subunit ribosomal RNA", at positions 20 to 353 of the family's 1533-position model. Lineage: Bacteria; Pseudomonadati; Pseudomonadota; Alphaproteobacteria; Hyphomicrobiales. The record is from RNAcentral.